AUUUUAAUUAACUUUGAUGGUAAAUCAACAGUACUAAUUGGCCAAGUAUUUUUAUUACCAUAUUUGUAACUUUAUUACCUUUUUAAUUUAGGAUUAGGAGACAGCAAUGCGGUUAAUAUAGACUGAGGUCGCAUGCAUCCCUUUGUAUUUCAAGUAGAUAAGGAAUGCACUUAAGUGUCUAAAUAUGGUUAAAGUGCUUGACUAUCAUGUUAACAAUGGUGUGUUGAAAGAAAUAAAAAAAAUGGAAGAUCUUAAUUGAUGAUUCAACCUAAUUUUUUCAAAUUCAAAAUAUUACAUUUAAAUUAUUUUACUUAUUUUCGAAAUAAAAAAAUGGAAGAUCUUAAUUGAUGAUUCAACCUAAUUUUUUCAAAUUCAAAAUAUUACAUUAAAUAUAUUUACUUAUUUCAAAUACAUUGUAUUUUGUAGUUCUAUUAUUUGCUAAUCAUUUAAGAUUAUUGUUGAAAUUCUAAAUAUGAAUGGGGGAAUGUAAAACAUUGUUGUUUUGAGUUGAUAUACAUUUUCAAUAUCCUCACAUGCCAAAUGGUGCAAUUUUCAGUAUACUCACAUGCCAAACGAUACAAGUGAUAUUCUAUACUAAAUUUGUCUGAAUUAUUAGAGGAAUUCGAACUUAAGUGCAAGAGAGC
This 644-nucleotide long non-coding RNA is filed under the name Malus domestica (apple). RNAcentral describes it as "long non-coding RNA (MDOM_LNC014492)". The record is from RNAcentral. Lineage: Eukaryota; Viridiplantae; Streptophyta; Magnoliopsida; Rosales; Rosaceae.